UAGGGAAUCUUCGGCAAUGGGGGGAACCCUGAUCCAGCCAUGCCGCGUGUGUGAAGAAGGCCUUUUGGUUGUAAAGCACUUUAAGCAGUGAAGAAGACUCUAUGGUUAAUACCCAUAGACGAUGACAUUAGCUGCAGAAUAAGCACCGGCUAACUCUGUGCCAGCAGCCGCGGUAAUACAGAGGGUGCAAGCGUUAAUCGGAAUUACUGGGCGUAAAGCGAGCGUAGGUGGCUUAAUAAGUCAGAUGUGAAAUCCCCGGGCUUAACCUGGGAACUGCAUCUGAUACUGUUAGGCUAGAGUAGGUGAGAGGGAGGUAGAAUUUCAGGUGUAGCGGUGAAAUGCGUAGAGAUCUGAAGGAAUACCGAUGGCGAAGGCAGCCUCCUGGCAUCAUACUGACACUGAGGUUCGAAAGCGUGGGUAGCAAACA
Molecule: ribosomal RNA, 427 nt
Filed under: uncultured Psychrobacter sp.
Lineage: Bacteria; Pseudomonadati; Pseudomonadota; Gammaproteobacteria; Moraxellales; Moraxellaceae
Description: bacterial SSU rRNA
Rfam family: Bacterial small subunit ribosomal RNA
Source: RNAcentral